AGCUUGGCCGAAAUUUUAGGGGAGGAAAAAACAAGAGAGAAACCUUCAAUUCCAACUUUAACUUGUGCUUGAAUCUUGAGUUCCAAUCAAAGUUUGUGCAAACUACUCCAUAAAACUUGCUCACUAAGGAGAUUUAAAGGCUUUGGUAGAGUGAUUUUGGAGAGGAAAGCUCUAAGCUACCAUCUUUAUUGAGGUUACAAGGUACUUUGGUAAGAAACUUCCCUCCACUUCAUAUAUUUGUAAACUAGUAGUUUAAAGCUGUAGUUUUGGUAGCUUUGUGAGGAAAUUUCAUGGGUUGAAAUAGUAUUAUGGUAAAUUUCAGUUUUAUGAUAAAUUCUCUGCUCUUAUAUGAUACUUAGUGAUUGGUCAUGAUUUGAUAACUUAGCUAUGUGUAAUAUUGAGGAAUUAUAUGCUAGUUUGACUUAUCUAAAGAAAUUUCCAACUUUAGCUUCAAAUUCCCAGCAUUGAUAGUGAUGAAUCUGCCCUGUUCUGACCAGCUUCAUUCGGCCAUGAUGGAGGCCUAAUUGGACUUAGCUCAAAACAUGAAAGUUGUAGGAAAUGAUGUUAUAUAGUUAUCUAUAAAAUUUCAACUAAAUCCGAGAACUGUAACAUAUAAAAUGACAAAAAUACCCUUGACUGCCAAAUGUAUAGUUUUUCGGACAGUUUUGAGAUUACACAAUUCUGGCUUCAUUUUUCACUUUGAUCUGUAUCAAAUCAGAAUUUGUCCAAAACACAAAAGUUUUAGCCCUAUGUUUCAUCUUUCCAACGCAUCUAAAAAUGUCUCAAUCGGAAUUGUGUAGCUUGAGUUAUUGCCGUUUGAAUCCAGUGCUGACAACCAAACUAACCAUGAACUUUUGGUUCUGGAAUCUGCAAAUUUGACCUAUAUAAACUAUGAACUGGGUUGAGUUGUCUUCAUAAAAGUUGUAACCCUUUGUCUUAGCUUCGAAAUGGUAUAAAGUGUACCCCAAUCCGAUAAAUUUAGCUCCAGUUGUGACCAAAAUGCUAUAAGAUGUCAAAUCUGCUGUUUAGAUUUUGUCUUCAAAACUUAUUUCCAAUUAUCUUAUUCGACUUGUGUUGUAAUUGAAUGAUGUUGGAGCCUAUUGGAGGCCUAUGUUGGUAACAUUACUUGUGUGUGAUUGUGGGGCUGAAUUGAGAAAAAUAAUGAAGUCAUAAAUGGCUGGAAAAUAGAUAAACACAAAGGGCGUGCUGUCCAAAUUUUCACUCGAGAGUUAGGCAUAUGUACCUGUGACUUGAGCGACGAUUUGAGGUCAAGUUGGAUUUGGAUCGCCUAUGGUAUUCGAGUUUUCUUUAGUCAGGAUAUAUAAGUUAAAAUUUUGCCGGAACUCGUGCUCUUGAAAAGUGAAAGUAGCGACCCUUUCAAAAUACGAUUUUCCCGAUUUUUGAUACCAAGUGUAACUUCUAAAGUCGAAACCACUUCUUGAUCAUAACUAAACGAGUGAGCAUGAAUUUUUUGAAAUUUGAUAAGUAUCUUGAAUACUACUUAAACGAGUUGCAUUUACUUGAUUUUCUUGAAACAAAACUCCUAUGUUUCUAACUCUAGAGAGUUUUACAUUCGUAAAUGAUAUUUUAUCGCAGAUUUGGACUCCAACCAAGGAGUUAGACCUGAACGUGACUUUUGAGAGCCACUAGACCUUUGGUGAGUGCUUCCAAAUACCUGAUGGAACUGAACACUUGUUUUCAAUACUUGAGUAAUGUGAUCGAAUGAUAUUUGAUUGGU
This 1738-nucleotide long non-coding RNA is filed under the name Coffea arabica (coffee). RNAcentral describes it as "long non-coding RNA (CARA_LNC003168)". The record is from RNAcentral. Lineage: Eukaryota; Viridiplantae; Streptophyta; Magnoliopsida; Gentianales; Rubiaceae.